This 73-nucleotide transfer RNA is filed under the name Actinomycetes bacterium. RNAcentral's name for it is "tRNA-Arg". It matches the Rfam family "tRNA". Rfam says of the family: Transfer RNA (tRNA) molecules are approximately 80 nucleotides in length. Their secondary structure includes four short double-helical elements and three loops (D, anti-codon, and T loops). Lineage: Bacteria; Bacillati; Actinomycetota; Actinomycetes. The record is from RNAcentral. RNAcentral also lists the same sequence under 4 other names.
GCUCCCGUAGCUCAGGGGAUAGAGCGUCGGUUUCCUAAACCGUGCGUCGCAGGUUCGAAUCCUGCCGGGGGCA